Long non-coding RNA from Erigeron canadensis, 3340 nucleotides. RefSeq lists it as uncharacterized. NCBI's taxonomy places the organism in Eukaryota, Viridiplantae, Streptophyta, Magnoliopsida, Asterales, Asteraceae. The transcript has 3 exons. The record is from RefSeq and is a predicted model, not a curated record.
AAUUAAUUGAUCAUUUAGAAAGUUUCCUUCCUACUUCCACAUUUAUUGAAUCAAUCCCUUCUGAUCGAAUUCAUUAAAGGUCCUUCCUUUAUCUGGGAAUCAUCGAUUCAUAUGUAAUUAGCGAAAAAGUCGGGGUGUUCAAUGAGGACACUCACAGGGCACACUGCAUCUAUCAUAUUGAUCUUUCUUUGACCGAAUACAAGAGGAUCUCAUUUGCUCCUGUGAUGAGAGUGACUUUUGGUAUUGGACCAUCAAGAAUGCUGGUUGUAUUGAAUUGGCUAAGGUUUGAGAAAUGCUUAUCAAUUCUAUCUUCUGAUUCUACUCCUACUUCGAUCCACAAUUUGCCAUUGUUGCCGAUUCCGAUUAGUUUUUGAAGGCCCCAUGACGGAGACCUUACAGUGACCCGAGAGAGGAAAGUUUUUUAUUGGACAAAAGGUUCGACUAGUUGAUCGGAGGAGGAGGAGCAGACAAACUGUGGAUCAACAACAACAACAAACGGUGGAUCGGAAGAGUAGACAAAACUCUAGGCAGGAUAUUAUGAGCUUUUACGCACUAACAUCCCAGAGGGUGUGUCAAAACCGGAGAUUGAUGAAGUUGUGUGGGGCUUUGAAAAGCUUACGGAUGUCUUCCCUCUAGGAAAGAAACAUAAGGGGGGUACGCCUUUUGCUUUUGUUCGAUUUGUUAAUGAAGGAAACACUUCUAUAGUGCUCAAAAAGUUGAUUCAGGUAUUGAUACACGGUGCUAAGUUGUUGGCAAACAUUGCCAAAUACGAUCGUGAUGGAAGCAAGUCUAGAGUGGCUGAUUAGAGGCCAGACAAUGGUGUGCAUAUGCAGAUCUUCAACUCUAAUCCGCAUAAGGCAGUUAAUCAUCGAUCUUACAGGGAUGUGGUGGCCCCAAUUAUUUGGUCCACGUGAUAUCCAUCUAAGAAAUCCGGACUUUUGCCUUAUGUUGUGUUGCCAAUGUUUAAAGAUUGAAAAGGAGAUUAAAAACAAAAGAAAUUGCAUUUCUAUUUGGAACGGGCAACUUGUUCAAAAAGACCGGGUGGCAUGACUCAGAAUCACCGGGGCACCUAUCGAGUUUUGGUUGUCUUCUCAGUUUGUUGAAGUUGGCAACAUAUUUGGUUGAACUCUUUUAAAUUCGAAAGCGCCCUUGGUAGAUAAGGAUUUUCCUGCAGCCCGAAUUUGCAUUCUCACAUCCUAAUUCGCCCGGAUCAACCUGGGGGUAACUCGCCCUAUAAUAUUUGGGUCAUUGAAGACCAUGAUCUUUGGUGUCCCAGUUGCGUUAAUAGCUUUUGUCCACCGGUUGGAACGAUUGAUGGAGGUGGGGCAUCUCAUGACAUGCGUAACAAAGAGUCUUCUGAUGGGAGCAUGGAUCCUGGGGACUCUCAAAAGUUUGGUAGUUUCGAGAAUAAUUUAAACAAGUUCAUUAUUGAUAUGGAUUUAUUGGAAUUUGCUUUGCAUGGGCGUAAGUUCACUUGUGUCAGAGGUGAAACUGUUGUGUAGGAUCGAUCAGAUCCUUGUUUGUAACAAGGUUUGGCAACUGUGGCCUGAAGUCUCAUAUAGGGCGUUACCCCCGUGAUCGACCUAAUCAUAGACUUUUUUUUUUUGCUCCGACUCAUCUGGGUUCGUCCCAUCCCCUUCUAGUUUUUUAACUCUUGGGUUAGUGUUUUGGGCUUUGAUGAGAUGGUUAGAAUUCACUACUCGGGUCUUUUGUUCUGAUGGCCCAGUGGAUGGACAAUUGAUGGCAAAAUUAAGACAUGUCAAAGGGGACAUAAAACGAUGGCAGGAAACUCAAAGGGGUGUGGGUAAUGUUGGUCUUUAAGACUUGAAUGACACAUUGGUUUUCUUUGAUGAAGUCAUAUAAAUUGCACGGAUGAUGAAAUAGAUGUGAGAUUAUGUAUGAAAGCGGAAUCUGACGCUUUAAACUACUUGCAUAACUGUGACCUUCCUCAAAAGUGUAGAAUCAGAUGGGCUGUUUUGGGUGAUGAAAAUUCGCAAUACUUUCAUGGUCUUGAUAUGGAUGGUGACUGGGUUGUUAAGACUGCCAUUAUCAAAUGGGAGGUCAAAAGAUUCUUUGCUGCUCGGUACUCUGAAUCUGUCAAGGAACGACCUUCUUUUCAAUGUGUUGGCCUUAAAUGUUUAUCGGUGGAUCAAGGACAAUAAAUUGUCACUCUAUUUUUUAAGGAUGAAAUUAUUUCUGCAGUAUGGGAAUGUAGUGGGGAGCCGACACCAGGCCUGGAUGGAUUUAAUUUCUUCUUCUUUCAGAGAUAUUGGGCCUUCUUUGAACAGGAUUUUCGUGAUAUUUUGGAUCAGUUUUAUGUGAAGGGCGAAAUCUGCAGGGGCUGCUCAUCAUCAUUUAUUACCCUCGUUCCCAAGAAUGGAGCACCGUCAAGCUUAAAUGACUUUUGCCCCAUUAGCCUUCUGGGGUGCAUCUCGAAAGUGAUUUCAAAAGGGCCAGCUAACUGUCUAAAACAGAUAAUUGGUUCCACUAUUUCAGAUUCUCAAUUUGCUUUUCUAGCAAAGCGUGUUAUUCUGGAUGACCCUUUAGUGGUAAAUGAGCUUGUUUCGUGGGUUAAGAGCUCUAAGGCAAAUGCUUUUUUGCUAAAGAUUGACUAUGAAAAAAGUUCUCGACUCCAUAAGCUUGGCUUUUGUGGAUUCAGUUAUGGUUCGCAUGGGUUUUCCAUAUUGUUGUCGGGUUUGGAUAAAUGGUAGUAUUAGUUAAUGGGUCCCCAACCUACGAGUUUCAAUUUUACUGAGGUGUUCGUCAAGGUGACCGUAAUUCCCCUUUAUCUUUGUUCUGGCAAUUAAAGUCCUUGGAGUUCUCUUUUCUAAGGGAGUCAUCUUGGCUCCCUUAACAAUGGGCCAGUCAUAUUCCAUUUGAUGUAUGCAGAUGAUGUCCUGGUCUCUUAGGGAACUAGUCUACUAAUAAUGUUAUAUCUGUUGCUCAUGUGUUGAGUUUUUCUUUUUUAAUCUGAUUUUGGAAUUUAGGUGGAACCCAUCUAAAUCGAAACUUUUCAAGUUUUCAGUAUAGGGGAUGCCGCUGGCUGGUGAAUUACAGGUAGUGGCAAGUGCCAUCAAAGUGUCCACAGAGGAGAUCCCAUUUGUUUAUUUAGGGAUACCCAUUGGUGAAGAUAUGAACAGAAUUAAGAGUUGGCACACAGUGAUUAAUACAGUGUAGAACCGGUUGUCUAGAAGGAAAGAGAGGUGAUGAGUGUCCAUUUUGUGAUAAAAACCCCUAAGGAAAGGCUUCAAUUCUAUGCUUACAUGAGUUAUUAUUCCGGAACCAUUGGUACUUAAUGAAUUAUGUGUUUAUGCAGGUUCUCAGAAGAUGCGAGAGAGGG